GAGGCCGCGCAGGCGCGCAGGAACUCGCGGAUGUUGCUCAGGCACUCGCUCUCGCUCCGCGGCUCCGGGUAGACCUGCAACACACAGCGCGGGCGCUGAGCGCGGCGGCGGCGGGCCGCGCGGCCCCAAGCCUCCCGGCCGCCGCUGCGCUCACCCUCUUUCCUUCCUGCGGGCGGCACCAAUCUCGGUCCCGGCCUCGCCCGGAAGUGGGCAGCGCCGGAAGUGACGCCGUCAGGCCGCGCCCCGGCCGGCGCGGGUCCCCGCUCGCCCCGCCGCGCCUCUCGCGGGCUCCCCGGCCAGCACGCCCCGCGCCCGGCCGGCCCCGGCGCGUCGACCAGCGGACGCCGCCCGCGCGGAGGGGCCGCGAGGGCGGCCGCGGCGGCCUGAGCGCCCCCGACCCGUGCGUCCUCACCUGGCUCAUGGAGAGUGCGGUUUCUAUUCUGCAUGAUCUGAAAUGACCAGCAAGAUACUGCAGACCCAGAGGGAAGCAGACCUUGGUGAUGCGCUGCCUGAACUGAGAAGGCCCUGGCCGGGAAACACACAGCUGUGAGAGCCACCUGUAGAAGAUCCCCUGGGAACACAGCUGGGCCUGGGCACAGCCCUGCCAGGGGCCUCUCCCCAGGCUGGGUCCCCUGGACCUUCAGCAUCAGCAGUCCCUCAGACCUCAGCAGGAGACAGCUUCUCCACCAGCCUAGGCCUUCUGCACGAGCAGCUGAGUGUGGAGACCAGCUCUGAAUCUGCAGAUGAACUGGAGGCCACCAGACCACCUAGCCCAGGUGAACAGAUGGAAGGGCCCCACGACUUGACAAGUGAAACACACGUACACUAAUAUCACUUGCUUUUGUUUUUCUGUUUGCUAUGGUACUGGGCAUUCAGCCCAGGGGCACUCGAUCCCUGAGCCACAUCCCCAGCUCUGUUUUUUAAUUUCAUUUUGAGACAGGGUCUCACCAAUUGCCCAAGCUGGCCUCAAACUUGGGAUCCUCUCGUCUCAGCCUCUACGUUACUGGGAUUACAGGUGUGCGCUACCAUGCCUGGCUCACUGACAUUUUAAUAUACCAUGCUGCCUCUGUCCAGAGCAGCAGGAAAGCCAGUCCAGCCAACAUUUUCAGCCCAAGGGCUCCCUAACAAGAUGUGCCUGCCACACUUUCCCUCAACAUCCUUUAGUGGCUCCCAGAAACCCCCUCCCAUCAGCCUCUCAAAGUGUUACCAAGGAAAACCUAGAUAAGCCCUCAAGCUUCACUUGCUCUUAACUAACUUAAAAAGAACUAAUUUUGGAGGUACUGUACAAGUCUCCCACUGGCUCUGCUAUAGCCACCUCUGACAUGUGGCUCCUAAUGAUGAUGGUUGCCUAGGUUACUCUUAAGGGAUCUCAAGGCUGCCUUUGCUGGUAACACCAGCUCUUCAUUGGGCCUGUGACAUCCCUCAGGUGACUGGAAUGGGGUGCAGAGGUUUAGCAUCUGCCUUCAUGUCAUGUCUGUCUUUGUUGCCUUAACUCUGCUCAAGUUCUGCUUAGCUCUGUGCACAGAACUGCUGAACAUUAGAGGCAUGUUCUCUCCAGCAAUGUAAUAAAGGGUUAACUUGA
Sciurus carolinensis (gray squirrel) is the source of this 1582-nucleotide long non-coding RNA. RefSeq lists it as uncharacterized. The transcript has 2 exons. The record is from RefSeq and is a predicted model, not a curated record. Lineage: Eukaryota; Metazoa; Chordata; Mammalia; Rodentia; Sciuridae.